CCUACGGGAGGCUGCAGUGAGGAAUAUUGGUCAAUGGCCGUAAUGCUGAACCAGCCAAGUCGCGUGCAGGACGACGGAUCUAUGGUUUGUAAACUUCUUUUAUACGGGAGUAAAAUUCUCCACGUGUGGGUUUUUGCAUGUACCCUAUGAAUAAGGAUCGGCUAACUCCGUGCCAGCAGCCGCGGUAAUACGGAGGAUUCGAGCGUUAUCCGGAUUUAUUGGGUUUAAAGGGUGCGUAGGUUGUUUUUUAAGUUAGCGGUGAAAUUUUGUGGCUCAACCAUAGAGCUGCCGCUAAUACUGGAAGACGAGAGAGCGGUUGCGGUAGGCGGAAUGCGUGGUGUAGCGGUGAAAUGCAUAGAUAUCACACAGAACACCGAUUGCGAAGGCAGCUUACUAGGCCGGAACUGACACUGAUGCACGAAAGCGUGGGGAUCGAACAGGAUUAGAUACCCUUGUAGUC
RNAcentral lists this ribosomal RNA (460 nucleotides) under uncultured bacterium. Its description in RNAcentral is "partial 16S ribosomal RNA". It matches the Rfam family "Bacterial small subunit ribosomal RNA", at positions 338 to 795 of the family's 1533-position model. The record is from RNAcentral.